RNAcentral lists this ribosomal RNA (301 nucleotides) under uncultured bacterium. RNAcentral describes it as "partial 16S ribosomal RNA". It matches the Rfam family "Bacterial small subunit ribosomal RNA", at positions 509 to 807 of the family's 1533-position model. The record is from RNAcentral.
CAGCAGCCACGGUAACACGGAGGGUGCAAGCGUUAAUCGGAAUUACUGGGCGUAAAGCGCACGCAGGCGGUCUGUCAAGUCAGAUGUGAAAUCCCCGGGCUUAACCUGGGAACUGCAUUUGAAACUGGCAGGCUAGAGUCUUGUAGAGGGGGGUAGAAUUCCAGGUGUAGCGGUGAAAUGCGUAGAGAUCUGGAGGAAUACCGGUGGCGAAGGCGGCCCCCUGGACAAAGACUGACGCUCAGGUGCGAAAGCGUGGGGAGCAAACAGGAUUAGAUACCCGAGUAGUCCCUGUCUCUUAUAC